This 429-nucleotide ribosomal RNA is filed under the name Chloroflexota bacterium. RNAcentral's name for it is "Chloroflexi bacterium partial 16S ribosomal RNA". It matches the Rfam family "Bacterial small subunit ribosomal RNA", at positions 355 to 776 of the family's 1533-position model. The record is from RNAcentral. Lineage: Bacteria; Bacillati; Chloroflexota.
UAGGGAAUCUUCGGCAAUGGACGAAAGUCUGACCGAGCAACGCCGCGUGAGUGAAGAAGGUUUUCGGAUCGUAAAACUCUGUUGUUAGAGAAGAACAAGGACGUUAGUAACUGAACGUCCCCUGACGGUAUCUAACCAGAAAGCCACGGCUAACUACGUGCCAGCAGCCGCGGUAAUACGUAGGUGGCAAGCGUUGUCCGGAUUUAUUGGGCGUAAAGCGAGCGCAGGCGGUUUCUUAAGUCUGAUGUGAAAGCCCCCGGCUCAACCGGAGAGGGUCAUUGGAAACUGGGAGACUUGAGUGCAGAAGAGGAGAGUGGAAUUCCAUGUGUGGCGGUGAAAUGCGUAGAUAUAUGGAGGAGCACCAGUGGCGAAGGCGGCUCUCUGGUCUGUAACUGACGCUGAGGCUCGAAAGCGUAGGGAGCAAACAGG